AUUGAACGCUGGCGGCAGGCUUAACACAUGCAAGUCGAGCGGGGAAGAGUAGCUUGCUCCUUGACCUAGCGGCGGACGGGUGAGUAAUGCUUAGGAAUCUGCCUAUUAGUGGGGGACAACAUCUCGAAAGGGAUGCUAAUACCGCAUACGUCCUACGGGAGAAAGCAGGGGACCUUCGGGCCUUGCGCUAAUAGAUGAGCCUAAGUCGGAUUAGCUAGUUGGUGGGGUAAAGGCCUACCAAGGCGACGAUCUGUAGCGGGUCUGAGAGGAUGAUCCGCCACACUGGGACUGAGACACGGCCCAGACUCCUACGGGAGGCAGCAGUGGGGAAUACUGGACAAUGGGGGGAACCCUGAUCCAGCCAUGCCGCGUGUGUGAAGAAGGCCUUUUGGUUGUAAAGCACUUUAAGCGAGGAGGAGGCUACCGAGAUUAAUACUCUUGGAUAGUGGACGUUACUCGCAGAAUAAGCACCGGCUAACUCUGUG
This 485-nucleotide ribosomal RNA is filed under the name uncultured bacterium. RNAcentral's name for it is "partial 16S ribosomal RNA". It matches the Rfam family "Bacterial small subunit ribosomal RNA", at positions 30 to 507 of the family's 1533-position model. The record is from RNAcentral.